CAGUCGCCCGGGAAUACAGAGGGUGCGAGCGUUAAUCGGAUUUACUGGGCGUAAAGCGUGCGUAGGCGGCUUUUUAAGUCGGAUGUGAAAUCCCUGAGCUUAACUUAGGAAUUGCAUUCGAUACUGGGAAGCUAGAGUAUGGGAGAGGAUGGUAGAAUUCCAGGUGUAGCGGUGAAAUGCGUAGAGAUCUGGAGGAAUACCGAUGGCGAAGGCAGCCAUCUGGCCUAAUACUGACGCUGAGGUACGAAAGCAUGGGGAGCAAACAGGAUUAGAUACCCCCGUAGUCCCUGUCUCUUAUACC
RNAcentral lists this ribosomal RNA (301 nucleotides) under uncultured bacterium. Its description in RNAcentral is "partial 16S ribosomal RNA". It matches the Rfam family "Bacterial small subunit ribosomal RNA", at positions 509 to 808 of the family's 1533-position model. The record is from RNAcentral.